GACGAACGCUGGCGGCGUGCUUAACACAUGCAAGUCGAACGGAAAGGCCUCUUUCGGGGGGUACUCGAGUGGCGAACGGGUGAGUAACACGUGAGUAACCUGCCCUUGACUUUGGGAUAACUUCAGGAAACUGGGGCUAAUACCGGAUAGGAGCUCCUGCUGCAUGGUGGGGGUUGGAAAGUUUCGGCGGUUGGGGAUGGACUCGCGGCCUAUCAGCUUGUUGGUGGGGUAGUGGCUUACCAAGGCUUUGACGGGUAGCCGGCCUGAGAGGGUGACCGGCCACAUUGGGACUGAGGUACGGCCCAGACUCCUACGGGAGGCAGCAGUGGGGAAUAUUGCACAAUGGGUGGAAGCCUGAUGCAGCAACGCCGUGUGCGGGAUGACGGCCUUCGGGUUGUAAACCGCUUUCGCUCAUGACGAAGCUUUGUGUGACGGUAGUGGGUAAAGAAGCACCGGCUAACUACGUG
This 467-nucleotide ribosomal RNA is filed under the name uncultured bacterium. Its description in RNAcentral is "partial 16S ribosomal RNA". It matches the Rfam family "Bacterial small subunit ribosomal RNA", at positions 28 to 507 of the family's 1533-position model. The record is from RNAcentral.